This 1174-nucleotide long non-coding RNA is filed under the name Heterocephalus glaber (naked mole-rat). RNAcentral describes it as "lncRNA (ENSHGLG00100052366.1)". The record is from RNAcentral. Lineage: Eukaryota; Metazoa; Chordata; Mammalia; Rodentia; Bathyergidae.
AGGGAAGAGCCAAAGAAAUAUCUAAAGUUUCAAACUUCUAUAUUAGGAGAAUUAUGGCACCGCAGAUAGAAAUAGAGACCUAAGAAGUAAAAGAUUGUUAUAUACAAUGUAAAAAAAGAAUUUAAUUUUAGAUAUAAGUUUUGAGAGGCAGCUUAAUUUGACAGAAAAGUUCAAAUUUUAUUAUUUCAAGCUGCUGUGAGACCAAGAAACCAAAGAGAAAGCUUCAACUAUUCCUUGUGAAAAUUGUCACAAGAUCUAACUGAUCCAAGACAACUGAUUGAGAUUUUACUUCAGUGCAAGUUACUGAGUCUAAGAAUUAAAUGUCAAUCAAGUUCUUUAUUCUUCAACAUUGAGCUGAAAGUUUAAGAAAUCUUAAUGGAGCUAAAUUAGAUUUUCUAAAAUGAAAAUUUAUCAACUUUAUGGACUUGGAAAUGUGAUUAGUUUAUGUUCAUAACUUAAGUAUGCCUCUGAAAAGUCAUAGCUGAGCACCUUUGCCAAGACCCAGGAGUUAAAAGUACUUGGAUUAAAGACCUCUUUUUUCCCACGCUGGGCAUGGAACCCAUAGCCUCCUACAUUCGAGGCAAGUGCUGUACCAUUGAGCUAUACCUGCGUCUUGCUUAAAAACUUUGAAUCAAAGCUUCACUGGGAAAUGAUGUUAGGAACUCAAUUCAACUAAAAUUUAUGAACUUUCCACAAUUUAUUUCAUAAUUAUUAUUGUUGUUUGCUUAUGAGACAGUGUCUCACUGUAGUCCAGGCUGGUCUUGAACUUGUCAUCCUCCCGCAUCAGUCUCCUAAGUCCUGGGAGAAUGAAGAUGAGCUACCACACCAGGCACCAACUGAUUUUCUGAAACAUGAUGGCUUACAAAAUACAGGCAAUCAAAAAGAUAAAAUAAACUGUCAAAGGGAAAAAGGAGUAAGAAAAUUAAAGCCAAGGAUAAGAUUAUCAUAGAGCAAUACAAUCCAUUUGCUAAAUAAAUUUAGCUCUACAUUUCCUAGUGGCCAGAGCAGAAAGGGAAAUGCUUCAGUGCUGUACUUCAGAUCGGAAGAGUCCCUCAGAGGCCCAGAUGUGAAAGGUCCUUAGGUUGGUACUGUGGGAGGUGGCGAGACUUUAAGAAGUGCGGCCCAGUGGGAGAUCUUCUGGUCACUGGUGACGUGACUUUGAAAGCAAUACUGG